UACAGAGGUCUCAAGCGUUGUUCGGAUUCAUUGGGCGUAAAGGGCGCGUAGGCGGCGCCGUAAGUCGGGUGUGAAAUUUCGGAGCUUAACUCCGAGACUGCAUUCGAUACUGCGGUGCUUGAGGGCUGGAGAGGAGACUGGAAUUCAUGGUGUAGCAGUGAAAUGCGUAGAGAUCAUGAGGAAGACCAGUGGCGAAGGCGGGGCUCUGGACAGUACCUGACACUGAGGCACGAAGGCUAGGGGAGCAAACGGG
This 253-nucleotide ribosomal RNA is filed under the name uncultured bacterium. RNAcentral's name for it is "partial 16S ribosomal RNA". It matches the Rfam family "Bacterial small subunit ribosomal RNA", at positions 524 to 776 of the family's 1533-position model. The record is from RNAcentral.